AUUGAACGCUGGCGGCAAGCCUAACACAUGCAAGUCGAGCGGAUGAAGGGAGCUUGCUCCUGGAUUCAGCGGCGGACGGGUGAGUAAUGCCUAGGAAUCUGCCUGGUAGUGGGGGAUAACGUCCGGAAACGGGCGCUAAUACCGAAUACGUCCUGAGGGAGAAAGUGGGGGAUCUUCGGACCUCACGCUAUCAGAUGAGCCUAGGUCGGAUUAGCUAGUUGGUGGGGUAAAGGCCUACCAAGGCGACGAUCCGUAACUGGUCUGAGAGGAUGAUCAGUCACACUGGAACUGAGACACGGUCCAGACUCCUACGGGAGGCAGCAGUGGGGAAUAUUGGACAAUGGGCGAAUGCCUGAUCCAGCCAUGCCGCGUGUGUGAAGAAGGUCUUCGGAUUGUAAAGCACUUUAAGUUGGGAGGAAGGGCAGUAAGUUAAUACCUUGCUGUUUUGACGUUACCAACAGAAUAAGCACCGGCUAACUUCGUG
This 484-nucleotide ribosomal RNA is filed under the name uncultured bacterium. RNAcentral describes it as "partial 16S ribosomal RNA". It matches the Rfam family "Bacterial small subunit ribosomal RNA", at positions 30 to 507 of the family's 1533-position model. The record is from RNAcentral.